This 234-nucleotide ribosomal RNA is filed under the name uncultured bacterium. RNAcentral describes it as "partial 16S ribosomal RNA". It matches the Rfam family "Bacterial small subunit ribosomal RNA", at positions 15 to 240 of the family's 1533-position model. The record is from RNAcentral.
GAUCUGACUCAGGAUGAACGCUGGCGGCAUGCCUAAUACAUGCAAGUCGAACGAGAGGAAGGAAAGCUUGCUUUUCUGAAUCUAGUGGCGAACGGGUGAGUAACACGUAGGUAACCUGCCCAUGUGCCCGGGAUAACUUCUGGAAACGGAUGCUAAAACCGGAUAGGUAGCAGACAAGCAUUUGACUGCUAUUAAAGUGGCUAAGGCCAUGAACAUGGAUGGACCUGCGGUGCA